GAUGAAGAACGUAGCGAAAUGCGAUAACUAAUGUGAAUUGCAGAAUUCCGUGAAUCAUCGAGUCUUUGAACGCACAUUGCGCCCCCUGGUAUUCCGGGGGGCAUGCCUGUCCGAGCGUCAUUGCUGCCCAUCAAGCACGGCUUGUGUGUUGGGUCCCGUCCCCCUCUCCCGGGGGACGGACCCGAAAGGCAGCGGCGGCACCGCGUCCGGUCCUCGAGCGUAUGGGGCUUUGUCACCCGCUCUUGUAGGCCCGGCCGGCGCUUGCCGACACCCAACCAUUUUUUUCAGGUUGACCUCGGAUCAGGUAGGGAUACCCGCUGAACUUAAGCAUAUCAAUAAGCGAGGA
RNAcentral lists this unclassified non-coding RNA (346 nucleotides) under soil metagenome. Its description in RNAcentral is "partial contains 5.8S ribosomal RNA, internal transcribed spacer 2, and large subunit ribosomal RNA". The stretch from base 1 to 120 matches the Rfam family "5.8S ribosomal RNA", at positions 35 to 154 of the family's 154-position model. The record is from RNAcentral.